RNAcentral lists this ribosomal RNA (253 nucleotides) under uncultured bacterium. Its description in RNAcentral is "partial 16S ribosomal RNA". It matches the Rfam family "Bacterial small subunit ribosomal RNA", at positions 524 to 776 of the family's 1533-position model. The record is from RNAcentral.
UACGGGGGGGGCAAGCGUUGUUCGGAAUUACUGGGCGUAAAGGGCUCGUAGGUGGCCAACUAAGUCAGACGUGAAAUCCCUCGGCUUAACCGGGGAACUGCGUCUGAUACUGGAUGGCUUGAGUUUGGGAGAGGGACGCGGAAUUCCAGGUGUAGCGGUGAAAUGCGUAGAUAUCUGGAGGAACACCGGUGGCGAAGGCGGCAUCCUGGACCGGCAUUGACGCUGAGGAGCGAAAGCCAGGGGAGCAAACGGG